Molecule: non-coding RNA, 26 nt
Organism: Myotis lucifugus (little brown bat)
Lineage: Eukaryota; Metazoa; Chordata; Mammalia; Chiroptera; Vespertilionidae
Source: Rfam
UCUUGCUUCAACAGUGUUUGGAUGGA